GGAUAACUACUGGAAACGGUAGCUAAUACCGCAUAACGUCGCAAGACCAAAGAGGGGGACCUUCGGGCCUCUUGCCAUCAGAUGUGCCCAGAUGGGAUUAGCUAGUAGGUGGGGUAACGGCUCACCUAGGCGACGAUCCCUAGCUGGUCUGAGAGGAUGACCAGCCACACUGGAACUGAGACACGGUCCAUGACUCCUACGGGAGGCAGCAGUGGGGAAUAUUGCACAAUGGGCGCAAGCCUGAUGCAGCCAUGCCGCGUGUAUGAAGAAGGCCUUCGGGUUGUAAAGUACUUUCAGCGAGGAGGAAGGCAUUGUGGUUAAUAACCACAGUGAUUGACGUUACUCGCAGAAGAAGCACCGGCUAACUCCGUGCCAGCAGCCGCGGUAAUACGGAGGGUGCAAGCGUUAAUCGGAAUUACUGGGCGUAAAGCGCACGCAGGCGGUCUGUCAAGUCGGAUGUGAAAUCCCCGGGCUCAACCUGGGAACUGCAUUCGAAACUGGCAGGCUAGAGUCUUGUAGAGGGGGGUAGAAUUCCAGGUGUAGCGGUGAAAUGCGUAGAGAUCUGGAGGAAUACCGGUGGCGAAGGCGGCCCCCUGGACAAAGACUGACGCUCAGGUGCGAAAGCGUGGGGAGCAAACAGGAUUAGAUACC
RNAcentral lists this ribosomal RNA (651 nucleotides) under uncultured Gammaproteobacteria bacterium. RNAcentral's name for it is "bacterial SSU rRNA". It matches the Rfam family "Bacterial small subunit ribosomal RNA", at positions 141 to 786 of the family's 1533-position model. Lineage: Bacteria; Pseudomonadati; Pseudomonadota; Gammaproteobacteria. The record is from RNAcentral.